UUUCUACUCCCUCUACCCGAAAAUACUUGUCAUCAAAAUGGAUAAAAAUAGAUGUAUCUAAAACUAAAAUACGUCUAGAUACAUUUCCUUUUAUCCAUUUUGAUGACAAGUAUUUCCGGACGGAGGGAGUAUUUG
This is a non-coding RNA of Triticum aestivum (bread wheat), 135 nucleotides long. Lineage: Eukaryota; Viridiplantae; Streptophyta; Magnoliopsida; Poales; Poaceae. The record is from Rfam.